RNAcentral lists this ribosomal RNA (367 nucleotides) under uncultured organism. RNAcentral describes it as "bacterial SSU rRNA". It matches the Rfam family "Bacterial small subunit ribosomal RNA", at positions 527 to 896 of the family's 1533-position model. The record is from RNAcentral.
GGAGGGUCCGAGCGUUAUCCGGAAUCAUUGGGUUUAAAGGGUGCGCAGGCGGUAAAGUAAGUCGGUGGUGAAAACCCUUCGCUCAACGAAGGAACUGCCAUUGAUACUGCUAUACUUGAAUAUAGUCGAAGUGGGCGGAAUGUGACAUGUAGCGGUGAAAUGCUUAGAUAUGUCACGGAACACCGAUAGCGAAGGCAGCUCACUAGACUAACAUUGACGCUCAUGCACGAAAGCGUGGGGAGCGAACAGGAUUAGAUACCCUGGUAGUCCACGCUGUAAACUAUGAUUACUCGUUCUCGGCGAUAUACGGUCGGGGACUAAGCGAAAGUGAUAAGUAAUCCACCUGGGGAGUACGGUCGCAAGAUUG